This 1201-nucleotide long non-coding RNA is filed under the name Struthio camelus australis. Its description in RNAcentral is "lncRNA (ENSSCUG00000014022.1)". Lineage: Eukaryota; Metazoa; Chordata; Aves; Struthioniformes; Struthionidae. The record is from RNAcentral.
AUAUACUUUUUCUUUCUUGCUUUUUUCCCUGGCAAGGAAAUCAUUUUGAAACAGUAAAUUUCACUUUCUUUCUAAUCUCUCUAGAUUUUUUUUCUAAAUACAACUUUGCCUUGAACCUGUUUAAUCCCGUUUUUAACUCUAGCGUACAGCCGUUAAUGCACGAUGGAUUCCCAGGCUGAAAAUCCCGUACAGGCUACACUGGACUCUGCUUUGUGAGUGUGCAAGUGUGUAGAUGCAGGUGUAAGAACUGUAACCAAAAACGCUUUGUUUAUUAAAAAAAAAAAGUAAUACAUAUAUAUAAUGCCUUAUAAAAGAAUUGAACAGGAUCAGAAUCUACGGUACGUGUAACAGGUGAGAGUGAGUGCUGGGUUAGGCGGUGCACGCUGCGGUCACCGCCUGGAGUUGCGUUGAGAUUCUCUUUGCUCUUCCUUCGAGCACCACUGCGGUACUCCUUGCUGCAAUGGAUUAAUUGGAGUAAUCUUCCGUGGGGCGUGGAGUUUCUGCAUCCAGCAAAACUCCACCAUGCACACGUCUGAGGCUCCUUAAGGAAAAGCUGACCACGUCCCAUGUCAAUCUGAGACUGAACUGGACAGCUGAAUGCCAAAAUCUGCUCCGGUCUUGCUGUUCCGAAGUCUCAAACAGAUGUCAGCGCCUUUACCGAAGAACACACUAAAAAGUGGAUUAGACAAGCACACAGGGAACGCUGGAUUCAGACUGACAGCCAAGGUGAGAGCUGAUUUCUCAGCAUAUUUAUUUUAAAACUCUUUAACACAUAUUACUAGAGGACUCUCAGAUUCAUCCCCCACCCCACUCCACCCCAACUCCAAAGCUGGGUGUAGUUCAACCCUCCUCCAAGCAAAAAACCAGAAUAAUCAGAAUUAAUAGGGGACUGAUACUCUCACCCUCCCACUCACAGACACAGAGCCAGGCUAUGAACCUGUAUUACAGCUCCUCAACAGUUUUUUCCAGCCCACAGGUUGUAAAAAGUAGUCAGUCACACCAUCGCUCUGUGCAAUAGUAUCUGCGUUAUUUAUUAGCCAAUGGACUUACUCUGUCCCUUUUUUCAACCCAGCUUUAGUGACUGCGUAUUCAGGGUCAGUUCGCUCACAUCCCUACAAGUUGCGUAGGGGUGAGGAGAGGCAGAGGCAGGGAUUUUCCAUGACUGUUCACUUUCUAACUCUCAGCACAGCUCCACUUUGUG